AUGAACGCUGGCGGCGUGCCUAAUACAUGCAAGUCGAGCGAACAGACGAGGAGCUUGCUCCUCUGACGUUAGCGGCGGACGGGUGAGUAACACGUGGAUAACCUACCUAUAAGACUGGGAUAACUUCGGGAAACCGGAGCUAAUACCGGAUAAUAUAUUGAACCGCAUGGUUCAAUAGUGAAAGACGGUUUUGCUGUCACUUAUAGAUGGAUCCGCGCCGCAUUAGCUAGUUGGUAAGGUAACGGCUUACCAAGGCAACGAUGCGUAGCCGACCUGAGAGGGUGAUCGGCCACACUGGAACUGAGACACGGUCCAGACUCCUACGGGAGGCAGCAGUAGGGAAUCUUCCGCAAUGGGCGAAAGCUUGACGGAGCAACGCCGCGUGAGUGAUGAAGGUCUUCAGAUCGUAAAACUCUGUUAUUAGGGAAGAACAAAUGUGUAAGUAACUAUGCACGUCUUGACGGUACCUAAUCAGAAAGCCACGGCUAACUACGUG
This 496-nucleotide ribosomal RNA is filed under the name uncultured bacterium. Its description in RNAcentral is "partial 16S ribosomal RNA". It matches the Rfam family "Bacterial small subunit ribosomal RNA", at positions 29 to 507 of the family's 1533-position model. The record is from RNAcentral.